GUUCUCGACUCAGCAGUACAUAUACUGAAAUCAGAAUGAUACAGAGAUUAGCAUGUUCCCUGCUCAAGGAUGACACACAAAUUUAUGACGUAUUCCAUGCUUUA
Alexandromys fortis (reed vole) is the source of this 104-nucleotide small nuclear RNA. The record is from RefSeq and is a predicted model, not a curated record. NCBI's taxonomy places the organism in Eukaryota, Metazoa, Chordata, Mammalia, Rodentia, Cricetidae.